Molecule: ribosomal RNA, 271 nt
Filed under: uncultured eukaryote
Lineage: Eukaryota
Description: partial small subunit ribosomal RNA
Rfam family: Eukaryotic small subunit ribosomal RNA
Source: RNAcentral
AGGGCACCACCAUGGGGUGGAGCCUGCGGCUUAAUUUGACUCAACACGGGGAAACUCACCAGGUCCAGACAUGAGUAGGAUUGACAGAUUGAUAGCUCUUUCUUGAUUUUAUGGGUGGUGGUGCAUGGCCGUUCUUAGUUGGUGGAGUGAUUUGUCUGGUUAAUUCCGAUAACGAACGAGACCUUAACCUGCUAAAUAGCCAGGCUGGCUUCGGCUGGCCUCUGGCUUCUUAGAGGGACUAUCAGCGUUUAGCUGUUGGAAGUUUGAGGCA